GACGAACGCUGGCGGCGUGCUUAACACAUGCAAGUCGAACGGAAAGGCUCCAGCUUGCUGGAGUACUCGAGUGGCGAACGGGUGAGUAACACGUGGGUGAUCUGCCCUGCACUUCGGGAUAAGCCUGGGAAACUGGGUCUAAUACCGGAUAGGACCGCACGUUGGUGGGUGUGGUUGAAAGGUUUUCCGGGGGUGGGAUGAGCUCGCGGGCUAUCCGUCUUGUGGGUGGGGAAUGGCCUACCAAGACGUUGACGGGGAGCCGGGCUGUGAGGGUGGACCGGCCCACUUGGACUGAGAGACGGCCCAGAGUCCUACGGGGGGCGGCAGUGGGGAAAAUUGCACACUGGGGGCAAACCCGAUGCAGAGCCGCCGCGUGGGGGAUAAAGGGCUUUUGGUUGUAAAAUCCGUUCGCUCGGGACGCAGCGUUUUGUGGCGGUACCUGGAGAAGAAGCACCGGCUAACUACGUU
RNAcentral lists this ribosomal RNA (468 nucleotides) under uncultured bacterium. RNAcentral's name for it is "partial 16S ribosomal RNA". It matches the Rfam family "Bacterial small subunit ribosomal RNA", at positions 28 to 507 of the family's 1533-position model. The record is from RNAcentral.